AAGAGUUUGAUCAUGGCUCAGAUUGAACGCUGGCGGCAGGCCUAACACAUGCAAGUCGAACGGUAACAGGAAGCAGCUUGCUGCUUUGCUGACGAGUGGCGGACGGGUGAGUAAUGUCUGGGAAACUGCCUGAUGGAGGGGGAUAACUACUGGAAACGGUGGCUAAUACCGCAUAACGUCGCAAGACCAAAGAGGGGGACCUUCGGGCCUCUUGCCAUCAGAUGUGCCCAGAUGGGAUUAGCUUGUUGGUGAGGUAACGGCUCACCAAGGCGACGAUCCCUAGCUGGUCUGAGAGGAUGACCAGCCACACUGGAACUGAGACACGGUCCAGACUCCUACGGGAGGCAGCAGUGGGGAAUAUUGCACAAUGGGCGCAAGCCUGAUGCAGCCAUGC
Molecule: ribosomal RNA, 394 nt
Filed under: Salmonella enterica subsp. enterica serovar Derby
Lineage: Bacteria; Pseudomonadati; Pseudomonadota; Gammaproteobacteria; Enterobacterales; Enterobacteriaceae
Description: bacterial SSU rRNA
Rfam family: Bacterial small subunit ribosomal RNA
Source: RNAcentral